AAAAAAGUGGCAGAACGGUUAUGUGGUUGGCUUGAAACCAACAUACGGGGGUUCAAUUCCCUCCUUUUUGG
This 71-nucleotide transfer RNA is filed under the name Gempylus serpens (snake mackerel). Its description in RNAcentral is "tRNA-Ser". It matches the Rfam family "tRNA". From Rfam's summary of the family: Transfer RNA (tRNA) molecules are approximately 80 nucleotides in length. Their secondary structure includes four short double-helical elements and three loops (D, anti-codon, and T loops). The record is from RNAcentral. Lineage: Eukaryota; Metazoa; Chordata; Actinopteri; Scombriformes; Gempylidae.